This 497-nucleotide ribosomal RNA is filed under the name uncultured bacterium. Its description in RNAcentral is "partial 16S ribosomal RNA". It matches the Rfam family "Bacterial small subunit ribosomal RNA", at positions 28 to 507 of the family's 1533-position model. The record is from RNAcentral.
GACGAACGCUGGCGGCGUGCCUAACACAUGCAAGUAGAACGCUGAAGAGAGUAGCUUGCUCUUCUUGGAUGAGUUGCGAACGGGUGAGUAACGCGUAGGUAACCUGCCUUGUAUCGGGGGAGAACUAUUGGAAACGAUAGCUAAUACCGCAUAACAAUGGAGGACACAUGUCAUUUAUUUUAAAGGGGCAAUUGCUCCACUACAAGAUGGACCUGCGUUGUAUUAGCUAGUAGGUGAGGUAACGGCUCACCUAGGCGACGAUACAUAGCCGACCUGAGAGGGUGAUCGGCCACACUGGGAAUGAGACACGGCCCAGAUUCCUACGGGAGGCAGCAGUAGGGACUCUUCGGCAAUGGGGGCAAGACUGACCGAGAAACGCCGCGUGAGUGAAGAAGGGUCUCGGAUCGUAAAGCUAUGUUGUAAGUGAAGAACGCGUGUGAGAGUGGAAAGUUCACACUGUGGAGGUAGCUUAGAAGAAAGGGACGGCUAAAUACGUG